RNAcentral lists this ribosomal RNA (253 nucleotides) under uncultured bacterium. RNAcentral describes it as "partial 16S ribosomal RNA". It matches the Rfam family "Bacterial small subunit ribosomal RNA", at positions 524 to 776 of the family's 1533-position model. The record is from RNAcentral.
UACGUAGGGUGCAAGCGUUGUCCGGAUUUAUUGGGCGUAAAGAGCGUGUAGGCGGCCAGGUAGGUCUGCUGUGAAAACUCGAGGCUCAACCUCGAGACGUCGGCGGAAACCAUCUGGCUAGAGUCCGGAAGAGGAGAGUGGAAUUCCUGGUGUAGCGGUGAAAUGCGCAGAUAUCAGGAAGAACACCCGUGGCGAAGGCGGCUCUCUGGGACGGUACUGACGCUGAGACGCGAAAGCGUGGGGAGCGAACAGG